GACGAACGCUGGCGGCGUGCUUAACACAUGCAAGUCGAACGGAAAGGCCCUGCUUUUGUGGGGUGCUCGAGUGGCGAACGGGUGAGUAACACGUGAGUAACCUGCCCUUGACUUUGGGAUAACUUCAGGAAACUGGGGCUAAUACCGGAUAGGAGCUCCUGCUGCAUGGUGGGGGUUGGAAAGUUUCGGCGGUUGGGGAUGGACUCGCGGCUUAUCAGCUUGUUGGUGGGGUAGUGGCUUACCAAGGCUUUGACGGGUAGCCGGCCUGAGAGGGUGACCGGCCACAAUGGGACUGAGAUACGGACCAGAAUCCUACGGGAGGGAGAAGGGGGGAAUAGUGCACAAUGGGCGGAAGCCUGAUGCAGCAACGCCGCGUGCGGGAUGACGGCCUUCGGGUUGUAAAACGCUUUCGGCUGUGACGAAGCGGGAGUGACGGUAAUGGGUAAAGAAGCACCGGCUAACUACGUG
Molecule: ribosomal RNA, 468 nt
Filed under: uncultured bacterium
Lineage: Bacteria
Description: partial 16S ribosomal RNA
Rfam family: Bacterial small subunit ribosomal RNA
Source: RNAcentral